Leptonychotes weddellii (Weddell seal) is the source of this 3056-nucleotide non-coding RNA. The record is from RefSeq and is a predicted model, not a curated record. Lineage: Eukaryota; Metazoa; Chordata; Mammalia; Carnivora; Phocidae.
CAGGAUCUGUGGCAACUGCAUAUUACAAACAGCUCAACCUCCUCCCUCGAAUCUGCCUACCAAGUUAGAAAGUCAUCCUUCAAGGGCAGCAAAUUCACACCUCUUAGUGCUUCGGUAACCUGAAUAUCACAUAUACACUUAAUUGUUUUUAACGCAGAAAUUCACCAGGGCUAGUAGAAAAUUUCAAGUUAGAAAAAAGACUUUUAAUUUUCUUAAAUAAUUCUCCUAUGUACCAUUCCACAUUGUGGAAAAACUGAAUUAUGCAGUCUGGAGACAACAUCGAGAUUUCAGAACACUGGCACAAAUACUUACAUCUAUAUUUUAUAAUAUAUUAGAACCACCAUGUCCUGUCUUAGAGCCUGUAACAGAUAACAGGUCUGAAACUGCAAGAGGUUUACAGAUGAAACUUCAAAUCUGGAGGUGUUAGCUGUGCCAGAGUCCCAAAACAGAUCUGGAAAGAUCUCCAUCCCAACUCUCCAUUCCGUCACUGCAGCUGUACUCUGUAUGCACCUAUUAGCAGCUUAACCUAUUGAAAGAAAAUAGGCAUAAGUAUCAGUACAGAUACCUCCAUCGAGUUCUCUCUUCUUAGAAGAGGGAAAACACUCAACCAAGAUUUGUCUGUCUUAUUUGGCAAUGUUCUCAAAUUGGUUAUCAAUUCAGGGUGUUAGGUUAUCACUUCUAAUAAAAAAAUCCAAGUGCUUAUGAUUUGACUUUUAGAUUAUUAUAGUAAAUAACUGUACUCUUUGUUACAUAAGCUUUCGGUCCACCUUCAAUGUUUAGUGAACAUCCUGGAGACAUACAUAAAAUGUCAUACAUUAAAUAACAAAGGCCAGAAUACAGCUCCGACUGCUCAAUACCGGAGAGAUGCAUCCUUACCAUCAGUCCCUUUCUUGACACACAAUUUAUGUCUAACACAUCUGUAGAUUCUGGUGCACUGCUAUCCCGGAGAGCACUUGUCUCCAGGACAGGCACGCCAGGAACACAGCAUUCUUGGAAUGUUUUUCUGCUGAUGAUAAAGUAAUCUGGCGUAGCAACAGAAGUAGCUGCACUAAAUGUGAGGAAAGGAUUUUCACCUUGGCAGAAGGCGCUUCCGUCAACCUUAUGAAGAGUUUAUUGAGACCUGCAGCAGGGCUGAACGAGUAAACAAAAUGACUAUCCUAGGGAGAGGAGAGACACCAACCAGUCAGAGUUUCCUCAGACAAACUUCUACAUCUGAGAGCAUCACUGUAUCUUAACAAAAACAUUUCAGAUUACAAAGACAUAUAAGAACACAAAUUUUAUACUUUAUAUAGAUCAAUUUGCUGUGAUUACUUUUCUCGAUUUAUUAAAAAGAUACAACUGACAAAAAAGCUUGUAAGAUUUAUCUGCAAAAACAGCAUUCAGAUAAAUCUUUAGGAUUAGCAUGUAUCCAGCCAUAUACAGCAUGAGUGUUAAAAAUCCUCAUGAACAAUUGAUUUUGCUUAAUUCAGGCUAAGGAAAGAAUUCUAAGUACAGAAAAGGAAACAUACACAAAGAUUCUUCAAGACCAUUUUUUGUUAAAGUUUAUAUAGCCACUAAUAUUUAUUUUAUUAUAAACCAAAUUUACAGUAUAAUGGUUACCUAAAGCUACACACAUUAACACUAAGCAUAAAUACACCCAUGUUCUAGGUACUUGAAGUACAGGAUGGGUGUAUUUUUAAAAUUUCCUAAAUUUCCUUUAGGUGAAUGUAAUUAUGAUGGUGGGAAAAGGCAGAAUAUUUAAUAAAAAUCAGACAGUAUGUUUAUUAUACCUUAAGAAUUUAUAUUCAGAAUGUUCUAAGACAGUAUGGUAAACGUUAACUUAAGGCAUAUAUAUCAAACAUGAGAAAUCCAGACUCUUACUGACAAAAUUUAGGAUAAUUUUACUUUAUAAUUAGGGGUUAUUGCCUCAUUUCCAUCUGGCUUAGUUACAAUUAACAUUUUAUUAAAACACACAAUUAAAAGUCAUCUGUGCUUCUGGAUUAGAAGAAUAUACUUUUUAGUAAUGAACUACAGAAAAUCUUACCAGAAAAACUGGAAGUUGAAAUUUAUCAUUUAAAACUACAGCUUGUACACUACAUGGUCCACAGAGCCGAGCAAUAACUUCUUUACCCAAAAAGUUGGCAUGGAAAAUAAACAGCAGGAUGCCAGAGCCUGAAUAAGGGAGAUGUAAACAUAGAUUUUAAUACCAAUCCUACCAUGGCCACCUUUCAACUCUGAGGAAGGCGCAGCUGUACAAGUUGGGAGCGGUCCCCUCAGGAAGCCUGGUGGUAUACAACCCCGCCUGCUGCCCACUCACGCCAGACAAUCUUGAGUCCAAUUUCAAAACUUGGUGUUACCUAGCAUUUUUCAAACCACAGACCCGUUUUAUUUUUUGUCCAUGGAACAAAUAUUUUAAAAUAUGCUUUUCUACAUUAAUUUUGGUCUAAAAAAAUGAGUAUUUAAAAGUUGCUGCUAAAUGUGUAAAUGUCCAUAGAAGCAAACUUCUAUGACGGUUCUCUCUGGGUGUGGGUUUGAAUGACUGUCCAUUUUCUUCCACAUAGUAUUUUGCCUUUUCCAAAUUUUCUGAUUAAUACCAAAACCUAUUUUAUUUUGGGGGGGAAAAAACCAUGAGAUUUGAAGCUUCCACUGAAUAUCCAAAAUGCUGUGCAUGACUCACUUUUCUAAACAAAGCCAUACUUUUAUUAUAACAAAAUAGAUAUAUGAACUCUAUGACCUUUCUGGUAAGCCAUUUUUAAGAUGAAAAAACACUGAUCCAGCCCAAUUAUAAACGAGAGGAGACUUCAUAAAAGAGACCCCAAGGAACCAUUGGGUUUAUUUGUUCUGGUCCCAGGGAAAGGAGGACACGCUGAGCCCCUGGCUCUCUUUCUUCGCCUUUCAAGCUAUUUAAGAAUAUAGAUCCUGGAAUUGGAGUAACCAUCACGCAGGCAUGAAGAUCCAAGUCACACCCUAAGUGUGGUGGAGGAGGAAAAGGGGAAGAGUGGCUUUUCUUGUCCAUGGCUGUCUACCCCUGGACUCUGUAUUAUUUUGAACAAUAAACACCUUACUUGUAUUAACUA